UACAGAGGGUGCAAGCGUUGUUCGGAAUUACUGGGCGUAAAGCGCGUGUAGGCGGUCCUUCAAGUCGGACGUGAAAUCCCUGGGCUUAACCCAGGAACUGCGUUCGAAACUGCUGGACUAGAGUAUCGGAGGGGAUGGUGGAAUUCCUGGUGUAGAGGUGAAAUUCGUAGAUAUCAGGAGGAACACCUGUGGCGAAGGCGACCAUCUGGAAGAUUACUGACGCUGAGGAACGAAAGCGUGGGGAGCAAACAGG
This 253-nucleotide ribosomal RNA is filed under the name uncultured bacterium. RNAcentral's name for it is "partial 16S ribosomal RNA". It matches the Rfam family "Bacterial small subunit ribosomal RNA", at positions 524 to 776 of the family's 1533-position model. The record is from RNAcentral.